This 346-nucleotide long non-coding RNA is filed under the name Salvia miltiorrhiza (redroot sage). RNAcentral describes it as "long non-coding RNA (SMIL_LNC008534)". Lineage: Eukaryota; Viridiplantae; Streptophyta; Magnoliopsida; Lamiales; Lamiaceae. The record is from RNAcentral.
GGGCCGGAGAUGCUUAUGCAAGUCUGAAGAAUAAGAAAUGAUUUUGUUACUAAAAGAUUGGAUUAAGUUGGAGUAUUGACGGAUUGAAAUAUGUCGAUCAGUAAUUUUAUUGAUUAAGGUUCAGAAUAUUUAUUAGAGGGUGUUUAGUUUUUUUUUUCUUUUUUCUUAAAGGAAUUAAAUUAUUUUAGUACAUAUAUCUAAUAAAGAUAGAUAAAUUCCUAUAAUCCUAUUAUUUUCCACCAUUAUAAUGAGUUAACAUAAGUACUAUAUAUCCUUUUAAUUUACACCAUUCAUUUGAGUCAAUGACUAGAUUAAAGUCUUACUAUCAUUUAUAGUAAAAAUAAGU